GACGAACGCUGGCGGCGUGCCUAAUACAUGCAAGUCGAGCGAAGUGGAGAGAGCUUGCUCUCAAAGCUUAGCGGCGAACGGGUGAGUAACACGUGGGCAACCUGCCUGACAGACCGGGAUAACUUGGGGAAACUCAAGCUAAUACCGGGUAGGAUCUCAAAUCGCAAGGUUUGAGAUGGAAAGUCUGAACGACACUGUCAGAUGGGCCCGCGGCGGAUUAGCUGGUUGGUGGGGUAAUGGCCUACCAAGGCGACGAUGAGUAGCCGAACGGAGAGGGUGACCGGCCACACGGGGACUGAGACACGGCCCAGGCUCCUACGGGGGGCAGCAGUAGGGAAGCUUCCACACUGGACGAAAGUCUGGUGGAGCAACGCCGCGUGAGUGAUGGAGGUUUUCGGAUCGUAAAACUCUGUUGUUAGGGAAGAACACCCGGGAGAGGAUCCCGGAUUGACGGUACCUGACGAGAAAGCCCCGGCUAACUACGUGCCAGCAGCCGCCGUAA
This 502-nucleotide ribosomal RNA is filed under the name uncultured bacterium. RNAcentral describes it as "partial 16S ribosomal RNA". It matches the Rfam family "Bacterial small subunit ribosomal RNA", at positions 28 to 523 of the family's 1533-position model. The record is from RNAcentral.